This 84-nucleotide transfer RNA is filed under the name Gemmatimonadaceae bacterium. RNAcentral's name for it is "tRNA-Leu". It matches the Rfam family "tRNA". From Rfam's summary of the family: Transfer RNA (tRNA) molecules are approximately 80 nucleotides in length. Their secondary structure includes four short double-helical elements and three loops (D, anti-codon, and T loops). Further hydrogen bonds mediate the characteristic L-shaped molecular structure. tRNAs have two regions of fundamental functional importance: the anti-codon, which is responsible for specific mRNA codon recognition, and the 3' end, to which the tRNAs corresponding amino acid is attached (by aminoacyl-tRNA synthetases). tRNAs cope with the degeneracy of the genetic code in two manners: having more than one tRNA (with a specific anti-codon) for a particular amino acid; and 'wobble' base-pairing, i.e. permitting non-standard base-pairing at the 3rd anti-codon position. Lineage: Bacteria; Pseudomonadati; Gemmatimonadota; Gemmatimonadia; Gemmatimonadales; Gemmatimonadaceae. The record is from RNAcentral. RNAcentral also lists the same sequence under 5 other names.
GCCGGAGUGGCGGAACUGGCAGACGCGCGGGACUCAAAAUCCCGUGUCCUUCGGGACGUGUGGGUUCGACCCCCACCUCCGGCA